GCGGAUCCGCGCUCCAGCAAAGACCUUUCUAUGACUUGACCUCGGAUUAGU
This 51-nucleotide ribosomal RNA is filed under the name Periconia igniaria. RNAcentral's name for it is "partial 28S ribosomal RNA". The record is from RNAcentral. Lineage: Eukaryota; Fungi; Ascomycota; Dothideomycetes; Pleosporales; Periconiaceae.